GCGCAGCAGUCGAGAACCUCCGCAAUGCGGGAAACCGCGACGGGUCAGCCGGAGUGCUCGCGCAUCGCGCGGGCUGUCGGGUGCCUAAAAGCACCCAUAGCAAGGGCCGGGCAAGGCCGGUGGCAGCCGCCGCGGUAAUACCGGCGGCCCGAGUGGCGGCCACUUUUAUUGGGCCUAAAGCGUCCGUAGCCGGGCUGGUAAGUCCUCCGGGAAAUCUGGUCGCUUAACGAUCAGACUUCCGGAGGAUACUGCCAGCCUAGGGACCGGGAGAGGCCGGGGUACUCCCGGGGUAGGGGUGAAAUCCUGUAAUCCCGGGAGGACCACCUGUGGCGAAGGCGCCCGGCUGGAACGGGUCCGACGGUGAGGGACGAAGGCCAGGGGAGCGAACCGGAUUAGAUACCCCCGUAGU
RNAcentral lists this ribosomal RNA (409 nucleotides) under uncultured microorganism. RNAcentral's name for it is "bacterial SSU rRNA". It matches the Rfam family "Archaeal small subunit ribosomal RNA", at positions 330 to 745 of the family's 1478-position model. The record is from RNAcentral.